RNAcentral lists this ribosomal RNA (960 nucleotides) under Triticum aestivum (bread wheat). Its description in RNAcentral is "partial small subunit ribosomal RNA". The record is from RNAcentral. Lineage: Eukaryota; Viridiplantae; Streptophyta; Magnoliopsida; Poales; Poaceae.
AUGCAUGUAAUCUCUCUCAACUAUCUCCAACAUAUGGAUCGGAAGGAGUACCUCAUUAAGAGCUUCAUACUAGAAGCACAUAUCCUAUGGGGAAACUGGAAAAGCAUAAAAAAAUACUACGAAGCUGCGGACAGUAACACAUAUAUUCAACACCACCACCGCCCCCUCCAACGCAGAGACUGCAACGAAACUCCUCAAGAGCAAACGAGUACUAGCUUUCUUCCUACCCCUGGUCUGUUCCACGGAGUUCGUCCACCUCCACUUCAAUUACACCAUCGACCCCUACACCAAGAAGGCAAGAACCACGCAGACUUGAAGAGCAUACUGGUGAGGAACCAGCCUGAGCUGCGAGUGCUGUCGAGCAGGGCGUUGGCGGUUCGACGCCCCGUCUUCUAUGACCUACCAGCUCGAGUGAUUUUAUGCCACCUCAACGUUCUCCCCUUCGGGGAGAAUUACGCCGAGCUUCUAGGAGAAGGUGGCCACCUCAACCUCCCAUUUGUACCGCUCGGGAGGGAGGCGGCGAAAGAGGGAGUGCGCCUUCUGGAAAGCUACUCAUACUCCCCCGGCGGGGACCUUGCACCGGCUAAGCGAGGUAUGGCCAGGUUCAUCGUCAUGAUAGCCGAAGCAGCCCGUUUCCUGCCCAUCAGCAACAGGUUGGCCGAUCACUGGGAGGAAGAGACCUACAUGCUCGAGGCUGAGGCAAACUUCUGUGUAAACUGGGGGAGAAUGUCGUUUUUACUUAUUGACUGGGAUAAAACAACCGGGCGUACAAGCUGGGGAAGUGGGCAUUACACAGCGGCUCAGGGGCUGGAGAAGGAAACAGGAAUUAAGAGCCCAAGGGAUGUUUUACGGGUGCUAGACCUGCUGCAUUAUAGUUAUAGUGUUAGGCAUCUGUUAGCGCCGCUCCCGUUCCCCUUCUCCUCCUCCUCCUCCUCCGUCCCUAGCCUGUUUCAUAUCUGA